Molecule: transfer RNA, 76 nt
Filed under: Desulfobacterium sp. 4572_20
Lineage: Bacteria; Pseudomonadati; Thermodesulfobacteriota; Desulfobacteria; Desulfobacterales; Desulfobacteriaceae
Also listed under: 3 other names
Description: tRNA-Ala
Rfam family: tRNA
About the family: Transfer RNA (tRNA) molecules are approximately 80 nucleotides in length. Their secondary structure includes four short double-helical elements and three loops (D, anti-codon, and T loops). Further hydrogen bonds mediate the characteristic L-shaped molecular structure. tRNAs have two regions of fundamental functional importance: the anti-codon, which is responsible for specific mRNA codon recognition, and the 3' end, to which the tRNAs corresponding amino acid is attached (by aminoacyl-tRNA synthetases). tRNAs cope with the degeneracy of the genetic code in two manners: having more than one tRNA (with a specific anti-codon) for a particular amino acid; and 'wobble' base-pairing, i.e. permitting non-standard base-pairing at the 3rd anti-codon position.
Source: RNAcentral
GGGGCUGUAGCUCAGCUGGGAGAGCACAUGACUGGCAGUCAUGAGGUCAGGGGUUCGAGCCCCCUCAGCUCCACCA